UGUAUAUGGGUGGCGUUUUUUUUUCCAUAAAUUUGUAUGUUUGCAAUUUAUCUUUUGCCAAGGCAAAAGAAAUGGUGUGUGUGGGAGAACUAAUAUAUUUUAGAGCGAUGGCUUAAUUGCAGGCAGGAAAAAAGGUUUGGAAUGUAUAGCAAAAUGAAGGACAACAAUAUCGAAACCUGGUCUACAGGAACCAAACACACCUACGAUGAAGAGUUGUUUAGACGAUGAAAUCAUGGUCAAUAUUGAUGGAACAUGCAGUGAUGGCUCUACCUAAUAUCACCGCUUCAUGUCUUUCCUACUGGCAGCAAAUACAACACUCAGCCAGGGGUUAAGAGACCAGCUCUAUCUAUAUGAUGCAUCUCUGCUAAAAUAGUUUGCUUUAUAAAGGCAAUGUAAGCUAUCAGCAAGUGAUCUCAUAACUUUCUUUUGAGCUAUCAUGCUACCAUGUAAUGAAAU
RNAcentral lists this long non-coding RNA (456 nucleotides) under Triticum aestivum (bread wheat). RNAcentral describes it as "long non-coding RNA (TAES_LNC008070)". Lineage: Eukaryota; Viridiplantae; Streptophyta; Magnoliopsida; Poales; Poaceae. The record is from RNAcentral.